AUUGAACGCUGGCGGCAUGCCUUACACAUGCAAGUCGAACGGCAGCAUGGAGAGCUUGCUCUCUGAUGGCGAGUGGCGAACGGGUGAGUAAAGCAUCGGAACGUACCGUGUAGUGGGGGAUAACGUAGCGAACGUUACGCCUAUACCGCAUAGGCACUGAGGGGGAAAGCCGGGUAUCGUAAGAACUUGCGCUAUACGAGCGGCCGAUGACAGAUUAGCUAGAUGGUGGGGUAAAGGCCUACCAAGGCGACGAUCUGUAGCGGGUCGUGGAGGAUGAUCCGCCACACUGGGACGGAGACACGGCCCGGACUCCUACGGGAGGCAGCAGUGGGGAAUUUUGGACAAUGGGGGCAACCCUGAUCCAGCCAUGCCGCGUGAGUGAAGAAGGCCUUCGGGUUGUAAAGCUCUUUCGGCCGGGAAGAAAUCGCACAGGCUAAGACCCUGUGUGGAUGACGGUACCGGCAUAAGAAGCACCGGCUAACUACGUGCCAGCCGCCGCGGUAA
Molecule: ribosomal RNA, 504 nt
Filed under: uncultured bacterium
Lineage: Bacteria
Description: partial 16S ribosomal RNA
Rfam family: Bacterial small subunit ribosomal RNA
Source: RNAcentral